UCAACGGGUUAGACUACAUAGAAAGACUAGUGCUCGCUUCAGAGCCUAGUUCCUGAUCUCAGUUUGUAAGUGAACAUUCAGGAGGGAGCCCAUGGCCUGGAGAGAAAGCUGGUGACCAGGGAAGAGCAGAAGAGUGGUUUCCACUGCCACCUGCCAUGAUGAGCUGCCACUGGCGCAGCAGCUGAAUCUGCAGGUGCAGCGAUUGCAACCGAGAAAGACCGGAGGAGAAAGAUAGCCCUAUGUGGCAGCAGCAGCCACGGGGCAGAAUUUGCAUCUGUAUUACAUUCAUGGUGGAUAGAAAAGAACUUACACAUUAGCCUGUGAAUCAACCUCAGAAAAGUGUGAGGCAGGAAGAUAUUUACUCUAGUACUGGUUGGCGAGGAAGGAGAGCAUCACGAUGGAGGAAGGGUAUUGCAUCUGAGAAAAGGAGCAUUAUCUGAAAGACCAUCUGAUGAAGAACCUCAGCCCCCUG
Non-coding RNA from Kogia breviceps (pygmy sperm whale), 472 nucleotides. NCBI's taxonomy places the organism in Eukaryota, Metazoa, Chordata, Mammalia, Artiodactyla, Physeteridae. The record is from RefSeq and is a predicted model, not a curated record.